RNAcentral lists this microRNA precursor (102 nucleotides) under Prunus dulcis (almond). Its description in RNAcentral is "sRNA ncRNA". Lineage: Eukaryota; Viridiplantae; Streptophyta; Magnoliopsida; Rosales; Rosaceae. The record is from RNAcentral.
UCUAAUAUAUUUAAAGAGUAUAGCCGUUCGGCUAUACUAUUUCAAUAUUCGAAUAUAUUUAAAAAGUAUAGCCGCACGGCUAUACUGUUUAGAUAUUCUAAU